AUGAACGCUGGCGGCGUGCUUAACACAUGCAAGUCGAACGGUGAAGGCCCAGCUUGCUGGGUGGAUCAGUGGCGAACGGGUGAGUAACACGUGAGCAAUCUGCCCCUGACUCUGGGAUAAGCGCUGGAAACGGCGUCUAAUACUGGAUACGAACCGUGGAGGCAUCUUCAACGGUUGGAAAGAUUUUUUGGUCAGGGAUGAGCUCGCGGCCUAUCAGCUUGUUGGUGAGGUAAUGGCUCACCAAGGCAUCGACGGGUAGCCGGCCUGAGAGGGUGACCGGCCACACUGGGACUGAGACACGGCCCAGACUCCUACGGGAGGCAGCAGUGGGGAAUAUUGCACAAUGGGCGCAAGCCUGAUGCAGCAACGCCGCGUGAGGGAUGACGGCCUUCGGGUUGUAAACCUCUUUUAGCAGGGAAGAAGCGAAAGUGACGGUACCUGCAGAAAAAGCGCCGGCUAACUACGUGCCAGCAGCCGCGGUAAUACGUAGGGCGCAAGCGUUAUCCGGAAUUAUUGGGCGUAAAGAGCUCGUAGGCGGUUUGUCGCGUCUGCUGUGAAAUCCCGAGGCUCAACUUCGGGUCUGCAGUGGGUACGGGCAGACUAGAGUGCGGUAGGGGAGAUUGGAAUUCCUGGUGUAGCGGUGGAAUGCGCAGAUAUCAGGAGGAACACCGAUGGCGAAGGCAGAUCUCUGGGCCGUAACUGACGCUGAGGAGCGAAAGGGUGGGGAGCAAACAGGCUUAGAUACCCUGGUAGUCCACCCCGUAAACGUUGGGAACUAGUUG
This 782-nucleotide ribosomal RNA is filed under the name Microbacterium sp. RNAcentral describes it as "bacterial SSU rRNA". It matches the Rfam family "Bacterial small subunit ribosomal RNA", at positions 29 to 822 of the family's 1533-position model. Lineage: Bacteria; Bacillati; Actinomycetota; Actinomycetes; Micrococcales; Microbacteriaceae. The record is from RNAcentral.